This 450-nucleotide ribosomal RNA is filed under the name uncultured bacterium. RNAcentral's name for it is "bacterial SSU rRNA". It matches the Rfam family "Bacterial small subunit ribosomal RNA", at positions 354 to 796 of the family's 1533-position model. The record is from RNAcentral.
GUGGGGAAUAUUGGACAAUGGGCGAAAGCCUGAUCCAGCCAUGCCGCGUGUGUGAAGAAGGUCUUCGGAUUGUAAAGCACUUUAAGUUGGGAGGAAGGGCAGUAAGUUAAUACCUUGCUGUUUUGACGUUACCGACAGAAUAAGCACCGGCUAACUUCGUGCCAGCAGCCGCGGUAAUACGAAGGGUGCAAGCGUUAAUCGGAAUUACUGGGCGUAACGCGCGCGUAGGUGGUUUUGUAAGUUGGAGGUGAAUUCCCCGGGCUCAACCUGGGAACUGCCUCCAAAACUGCAUGACUAGAGUACGGUAGAGGGUAGUGGAAUUUCCUGUGUAGCGGUGAAAUGCGUAGAUAUAGGAAGGAACACCAGUGGCGAAGGCGACUACCUGGACUGAUACUGACACUGAGGUGCGAAAGCGUGGGGAGCAAACAGGAUUAGAUACCCGAGUAGUCC